This 1347-nucleotide ribosomal RNA is filed under the name Callerebia suroia. RNAcentral's name for it is "16S ribosomal RNA". The stretch from base 1088 to 1246 matches the Rfam family "Eukaryotic large subunit ribosomal RNA", at positions 2825 to 2984 of the family's 3401-position model. Lineage: Eukaryota; Metazoa; Arthropoda; Insecta; Lepidoptera; Nymphalidae. The record is from RNAcentral.
GGGGAUAGAUGAAAUAAGUAUAAAUAAUAAAAUUAAUUUUAAGGUUAAAAAUAAAUAAUGGGGGUUAAAGUAUUUUUAAUAGAAAAUAAUUUAAAAUUUUAUAGUAAAAUAGUAUUGUAAAAGAAAUUUGAAAUAAAUUAAAAAAAAUUAAUAAAAAAGAAAGUUUAAUUUAUUGUAUCUUGUGUCUCAGAGUUUAUUAAAUAUAUUUUUUAAAAAAAAAAAUCUCGAAUUUAAAAGAGUUAAUUAAUUAAAAAAUUUAAUGUUACAUAAUUAUUUUAAAUAAUUAAUUAGAAAUGAAAUGUUAAUCGUUUUUAAAAAUAUCUAGUUAUUUUAGAAAAAAAUUUAAUUUUUAAUUUAAAUAAUUUUAUUAUUUAUUAAAAAAAAAUUAUAAAAAUUUAAAAUUAAAUAUAUUAAGGGAUAAGCUUUAAAAUUCAAAUAUUUAUAAUAAUUUUAAUAAAAAUUAAUUAAAAUUUUUAAGAUUUAUAUUGUUUAAAAAUUAUAUUUUAUUAUAAAAAAUUUUAAUAAAAAUAAAAUUUAAUAAAAAAAUUUAAAUUUAUAUAAAAUAAUAAUUUUUAAUAAAAUAAAAUUAGAAAUUAUGAUAAAAUUAGUAUAAAAUAAGAAAAAAAAAAUAAUAAAUAAAAAUUGAAAAUAAGUAUAAGGAAUUCGGCAAAAAUAAAUAUUCACUUGUUUAUCAAAAACAUGUCUUUUUGAUAAUAAUUUAAAGUCUAAUCUGCCCACUGAUAAAAUAUUAAAGGGCUGCAGUAUUAUGACUGUACAAAGGUAGCAUAAUCAUUAGUUUUUUAAUUGGGAACUUGUAUGAAAGAUUUAAUGAAAUAUUAACUGUCUCUUAUUUAUUGUUAGAAAUUUAUUUUUUAGUAAAAAAACUAAAAUAUGUUUAAAAGACGAGAAGACCCUAUAGAGUUUUAUAUUUAUAUUUUUUUUAUUUUGUAUGAAAAUUAAUAUUAAAUUAAAUGUAAAUAUUAUAUUGGGGUGAUAGAAAAAUUAAACUAACUUUUUUUGAAAGAUUUACAUUAAUAAAUGAAUAAUUGAUCCAUUAUUAGUGAUUAUAAGAAAAAAUUACCUUAGGGAUAACAGCGUAAUAUUUUUUUUUAGUUCAUAUAAAAAAGAAAGUUUGCGACCUCGAUGUUGGAUUAAGAUAAAAUUUAAAUGCAAAAGUUUAAAAUUUUGAUCUGUUCGAUCAUUAAAAUCUUACAUGAUCUGAGUUCAAACCGGUGUGAGCCAGGUUGGUUUCUAUCUUUAGAUAAAUAAAAUAUUUUAGUACGAAAGGAUCAAAUAUUUAAAAUAAUUUUAAUUAAAAGAAUUUUAAUAAAUAUAUUAUAAAUUUAA